RNAcentral lists this transfer-messenger RNA (367 nucleotides) under Sediminihabitans luteus. It matches the Rfam family "transfer-messenger RNA". From Rfam's summary of the family: Bacterial tmRNA, also known as 10Sa RNA or SsrA, is named for its dual tRNA and mRNA-like properties. Lineage: Bacteria; Bacillati; Actinomycetota; Actinomycetes; Micrococcales; Cellulomonadaceae. The record is from RNAcentral.
GGGGGUGAUCGGUUUCGACGGUGGUCGUGCUUCGAGGAGAAGCGGGCCGAGGAUGCAGACUUAUCUCGUAAACGACGUCUGCAAACCUAUAGGUGCCGAUAACAAGCGCACCGACUUCGCCCUCGCCGCCUGAGCGAGGCUUCGAAGUCCGUCAGCCCGGGGAUGCUCUCGCCCCGGUUCCUGGCGUCAGCUAGAGAGCCACUGCUCGUGACGUUCGUCGGUGACGUCACGGGGACUUUCAGCCGACUGAGCCUGUCAGCAUCGUGUCCGUGAGAAUGCUGGGGCCGAGAAAGGCGUAACGGACUGCGCCCGGAGAAGUCCUGGAAAAGCGCCACCGGACCGGGGUUCGAUUCCCCGCACCUCCACC